RNAcentral lists this ribosomal RNA (446 nucleotides) under uncultured bacterium. RNAcentral's name for it is "bacterial SSU rRNA". It matches the Rfam family "Bacterial small subunit ribosomal RNA", at positions 331 to 793 of the family's 1533-position model. The record is from RNAcentral.
CCAGACUCCUACGGGAGGCAGCAGUGGGGAAUAUUGCACAAUGGGGGGAACCCUGAUGCAGCGACGCCGCGUGGGUGAAGGAGUAUUUCGGUAUGUAAAGCCCUAUCAGCAGGGAAGAACAAUGACGGUACCUGACUAAGAAGCACCGGCUAAAUACGUGCCAGCAGCCGCGGUAAUACGUAUGGUGCAAGCGUUAUCCGGAUUUACUGGGUGUAAAGGGAGCGCAGGCGGCGCGUUAAGCCUGGUGUGAAAGCCCGCGGCCCAACCGCGGGACUGCAUUGGGAACUGCAUGGCUGGAGUACAGGAGGGGCAGGCGGAAUUCCUAGUGUAGCGGCGAAAUGCGUAGAUAUUAGGAGGAACACCGGUGGCGAAGGCGGCCUGCUGGACUGUGACUGACGUUGAGGCCCGAAGGCGUGGGGAGCAAACAGGAUUAGAUACCCUCGUAU